Molecule: ribosomal RNA, 568 nt
Filed under: Rhodotorula aff. paludigenum UCDFST 81-84
Lineage: Eukaryota; Fungi; Basidiomycota; Microbotryomycetes; Sporidiobolales; Sporidiobolaceae
Description: eukaryotic LSU rRNA
Rfam family: 5.8S ribosomal RNA (bases 161-314)
Source: RNAcentral
AAGGAUCAUUAGUGAAUACUAGGGUGUCCAAUUUAACUUGGAGCCCGAACUCUCACUUUCUAACCCUGUGCAUCUGUUUCUGGCUAGUAGCUCUUCGGAGCGAACGCCAUUCACUUAUAAACACAAAGUCUAUGAAUGUAUAAAACUUAUAACAAAACAAAACUUUCAACAACGGAUCUCUUGGCUCUCGCAUCGAUGAAGAACGCAGCGAAAUGCGAUAAGUAAUGUGAAUUGCAGAAUUCAGUGAAUCAUCGAAUCUUUGAACGCACCUUGCGCUCUUUGGUAUUCCGAAGAGCAUGCCUGUUUGAGUGUCAUGAAAUCUUCAACCCUCUCUUUUCUUAGUGAAUCGAGAGGUGCUUGGAUUCUGAGCGCUGCUGGCUUCUGGCCUAGCUCGUUCGUAAUGCAUUAGCAUCCGCAAUCAAACUUCGGAUUGACUUGGCGUAAUAGACUAUUCGCUGAGGAUUCUGGUCUCUGACCGGAGCCGGGUUGGGUUAAAGGAAGCUUCUAAUCCUAAAAGUCUAACUUUUGAUUAGAUCUCAAAUCAGGUAGGACUACCCGCUGAACUUAA